AGUGAACGCUGGCGGUAGGCCUAACACAUGCAAGUCGAACGGAAGCACAGUAAGAGCUUGCUCUUACGGGUGGCGAGUGGCGGACGGGUGAGGAAUACAUCGGAAUCUACUUUUUCGUGGGGGAUAACGUAGGGAAACUUCCGCUAAUACCGCAUACGUCCUACGGGUGAAAUCAGGGGAUCUUCGGACCUUGCGCGAUUGAAUGAGCCGAUGUCGGAUUAGCUAGUUGGCGGGGUAAAGGCCCACCAAGGCGACGAUCCGUAGCUGGUCUGAGAGGAUGAUCAGCCACACUGGAACUGAGACACGGUCCAGACUCCUACGGGAGGCAGCAGUGGGGAAUAUUGGACAAUGGGCGCAAGCCUGAUCCAGCCAUACCGCGUGGGUGAAGAAGGCCUUCGGGUUGUAAAGCCCUUUUGUUGGGAAAGAAAAGCAGCAGGUUAAUACCCCGCUGUUCUGACGGUACCCAAAGAAUAAGCACCGGCUAACUACGUG
RNAcentral lists this ribosomal RNA (492 nucleotides) under uncultured bacterium. RNAcentral describes it as "partial 16S ribosomal RNA". It matches the Rfam family "Bacterial small subunit ribosomal RNA", at positions 29 to 507 of the family's 1533-position model. The record is from RNAcentral.